GGUAUAGACCCGAAACCCGGUGAUCUAGCCAUGGGCAGGUUGAAGGUUGGGUAACACUAACUGGAGGACCGAACCGACUAAUGUUGAAAAAUUAGCGGAUGACUUGUGGCUGGGGGUGAAAGGCCAAUCAAACCGGGAGAUAGCUGGUUCUCCCCGAAAGCUAUUUAGGUAGCGCCUCGUGAAUUCAUCUCCGGGGGUAGAGCACUGUUUCGGCAAGGGGGUCAUCCCGACUUACCAACCCGAUGCAAACUGCGAAUACCGGAGAAUGUUAUCACGGGAGACACACGGCGGGUGCUAACGUCCGUCGUGAAGAGGGAAACAACCCAGACCGCCAGCUAAGGUCCCAAAGUCAUGGUUAAGUGGGAAACGAUGUGGGAAGGCCCAGACAGCCAGGAUGUUGGCUUAGAAGCAGCCAUCAUUUAAAGAAAGCGUAAUAGCUCACUGGUCGAGUCGGCCUGCGCGGAAGAUGUAACGGGGCUAAACCAUGCACCGAAGCUGCGGCAGCGACACUAUGUGUUGUUGGGUAGGGGAGCGUUCUGUAAGCCUGUGAAGGUGGCCUGUGAGGGUGGCUGGAGGUAUCAGAAGUGCGAAUGCUGACAUAAGUAACGAUAAAGCGGGUGAAAAGCCCGCUCGCCGGAAGACCAAGGGUUCCUGUCCAACGUUAAUCGGGGCAGGGUGAGUCGACCCCUAAGGCGAGGCCGAAAGGCGUAGUCGAUGGGAAACAGGUUAAUAUUCCUGU
Molecule: ribosomal RNA, 739 nt
Filed under: Escherichia coli
Lineage: Bacteria; Pseudomonadati; Pseudomonadota; Gammaproteobacteria; Enterobacterales; Enterobacteriaceae
Description: partial 23S ribosomal RNA
Rfam family: Bacterial large subunit ribosomal RNA
Source: RNAcentral